UUCUGCAACCGUUCAGGCAAUUUCUUUCAUGAACCAAUCAGAUCGUUUGCUUUUAUGACGUUUCAAUUUUAUGUGAUGACGUAUACAAAUGUAAAUAAAAAUGGCGGCGACGUUGGUGAAGAGGAUGAUCGGAUGAAAUUUUUUUAUAGACGAAACGGAACAGUUUUUUAGUUUAAUAAUAACAUUUUCUUUAAAAUCAAAGCAUUAAAAAUACUUUCACACGAUGAAAUAACCAUCUCAAUGCAGUUGAUGUACUACCAUAACAGGAACCUGCACAUCAUUUUAGUAUCGAUAUUUCGUAUAAUCCUGUAAGGUUUGUCUGGUGAAGAAGGAAAGAGAUGCAAUACUGUUUUUAUGAAAGAAAUUAAAAAAUAAGAAAUGAAAAUGAAUAAUGUUCUAAAUGUUUCACUUGACAAUAAAUGUUUUGUUUUUUAAA
This is a long non-coding RNA of Parasteatoda tepidariorum (common house spider), 436 nucleotides long. RefSeq lists it as uncharacterized. Lineage: Eukaryota; Metazoa; Arthropoda; Arachnida; Araneae; Theridiidae. The record is from RefSeq and is a predicted model, not a curated record.